Molecule: long non-coding RNA, 1029 nt
Filed under: Gallus gallus (chicken)
Lineage: Eukaryota; Metazoa; Chordata; Aves; Galliformes; Phasianidae
Source: RNAcentral
CGGCACAGUCCGAGCGCCGGCCCCGGCCGCUCCUCCGCUCGGAUUCUCCGGUUUCGAUCUGAGGACCCCGGGGCCGCCCCGCGCUUCGAGCCCACGGGCGGAGACGUUCCGGAAAGCAGACAGCAGCGCACAGCGGUCCGGGUGCGACCCCUCUCGCUCUGCGUGCCGAGACCGCCCCGAAUUAACGUUUCCCGUUCUCCGUCCCUCUUCCCCAGGGCAGCACGGAGCGCUGCGGAGCAUCUCUGUGCCCUCGUGAGAGCCGGCGGUGCAACGAACGGCAGUCGUUCGUACGGCCGGAUCGUUUUCCUGGCGGUAAACCACUUGGCCACCGCGCCUGCGUUAACGGCUCGGCCCGAGGCCGUUCUGUCGCUGGCGCCACUCCCGCUGCUCCGCGGCCUUCGCGGUGCGCGCGCGUCAGCACCUGCGGCCGUUAGGCGCGCGCGCGACCGUUGCUCCCUCAGGCGAGGCCGUCCCGCCGCGCGUUCCGCCUGCGCGGCCAGGCGUUCCUCUGCCGAGAGGUGGCCCUCGUGUGCUCAGAGCCGUAAUUGGAGCAGUCUUCCCCGGGACGGGAAAAACAGCUUAGGGAGGAGGAAGAAAAAGCAGGAAGAAAACGCGCAUCCUCCCGGAAACGGAGCGGGAGUGCAGACUUUGCGGUUUCUCGGAGGGACUCUGAAUUGAUACAGUGCUAUGGCAGAAUGGAACAGCGUCCUCGUUCUGCAGAGGAGACUGGAGACUCAUCAUCAGAACUGUGCAUAAAUGUGGCUUGGCUGUCCAGCUUAAACCAAGAGAAAGAACUUUACAGCAAUAGGACUCUAUGAAGAAAAAUGGGAACAGGCUGUGGCAUGCAAGAGCUAAUCUGACAAACAGAAGUCAACGGUUAUUUCUUCAGAGAUCACCACUCCUUCAAACAAAUACACCUGAAGUUAGGAAGUUGUGUCAACUGCCAUUCCCUUACGUAUGAAAAACCUUUCUACUUACAAAGUUUUUUAAAAUAAAAUACCAUUUUAUUUGUAGUAAUUAAAAUAAAAC